Molecule: RNA transcript, 2020 nt
Organism: Cercocebus atys (sooty mangabey)
Lineage: Eukaryota; Metazoa; Chordata; Mammalia; Primates; Cercopithecidae
Gene name: transcription initiation factor IIA subunit 2-like
Exons: 2
Source: RefSeq, a predicted model, not a curated record
AAAAAAAAAAAACUUCACAUGUGGAAGCAUGGUCUGAGGAAAGCCUACCCUUUCUACCUGCUGGGGGUUGGCCAGAUUUGACAGGCCACCUCGCCAAUUAGCCCCAAGUCAACAAGCAGCUCUGUUACAUAAGGCUCCUAGUUCCUGCCAAAUGUUGCCAUGCCAGAGUAAGGAGAGGGCAAGGAACUCCUCCAAAUUUAGCAUCUAAUUGGUAGCCAUCAAGAGUGAAGCCUUGAAGUGUAAACCCUUGGAGAUCUGAGAUUCUGUCUUUUAUGUGCCUGGGAAAUGUAUCCUCAGAAAACUGCUUUUCAGCUUGGCCUGAAUUUGGCAAAUCUCUCCUUUCUACUAACUAAUAACUUACAGAUCACCUCCUCUUAUUCAAACUUGAAACUAUAUAUAGUCCUGUAGACUACAGGAAGGCUGGCCAGUCUCUUGGCCAAGAGUGAUUUAUUCAGCCCAUUGACUUCAUGAGAUUCUGUUUUGAUGAUGAGUAUACUUGUAAUAACAAUAGCUAUAAUUAAUUCUGUGUGCCAGGCACUUUGAGUAUAUUACCUCAUUGUUUUUCUCAACAAAAUUAUGAGAUCAAUAUUUUCUCCAUCAUUGUAACUAAGAAGCUUAGAGAAGUUAAAUGAUCUGCAAUUAUUUAACUUCUCUGAGCUAAGCUUACUUAGCUAGUAAAUAGCUGCACUGAGACUUGAACCCCAGUCUUUCUGACUCCAGAGCUCAUACUCUUUUACUGUGCCACACUGCCAAUAAUUGAAUUAAUGAGGACCACCUUUUUGUGCGUGACAGGAAAGAAGACAGUAGGAAGGGUAUGAGUAUCAGAGCCAAGGAGUCUAGACUGAUGGAGUUCCUGCUUCUCCUCCAUCUUGCUCAGAGCUUAGUUUCUAUGGAGCCUAGCUGAUGACAGCUAAAUAGUAUAAUUAAGAAGCUCUUGUUUAUUUGCAUUUUAGACCAAAAGUGUAAUGUUGAAUUAGAACUAGGCAUUUUAUAAUCCAGUACUGGUGAAUGUACCAUUUUUAUGAUCAAGUACUGGUGAGUUGUUGAUUGCACAAAAAAAAAUAUGUAAAUAAUUUUAAAUACCUGCUUCAAAACCACCAGCCCUUUAUAUUUACCAACAGAUGAAUUUUACUUCAUCGGAUUAAGAUAAUAGACCCUUUAUUUUUAGCCAGUAUAUUUAUGGAUGGUUAAGUGAAAGUAAAAUACGGGAGCAUAUUAAGAGCUCCAGAGUCUUGGGUUCAGCUCUGUAGUUUCUGUGACUGCUGAAGUGGUGGUCAGGAAUAUAGGAACCCCCUGCUGGGCUCCUGGUCACUUCUGUCUGCUCCAUGGCAGGAAGCCUUCAGCACAAGACAUCAAGGCAAGCUUGAAUGAGAAAAACAAUUUCUUCUUCCUAAGCCAUGUCAUAUCACUUAUACAGAAGUACUACUUUGGGAAACAGUCUUCAGGAGAGCCUCGAUGAGGUCAUACAAUCUCAGCAGUUCACUCAACUUGCCCUUCAAGUUUUACUUCAGUUUGAUAAGGCUAUAAACGCAUCAUUUUGGCUCAGAGGGUUAGGAACAGAGUUGAUUUCAGUGGCUCUCUAAAUACAUACAGAUUCUGCCAUAUAUUCUGUGAUAAUAUGUAGACUUUUAUAUUCAAUGAUAUUGAAUUACAAAAGGUGAUAGAACUUAAAGUGGAUAAAGUGAAAAUUAUGGCCUGUGAUGAUAAAAAUACUGGCUGUAAUACUACCGAAUGAAUAGGAAAAAAAACACGUUUUUAUGACAUCUUCUGUUACUAUUCAUCACUUUUGAAGAGAAAUGUAAAAAUUUUUUUAUUCUAGCAUUGCAGAAAUUACAUUGUGUUAUUUUGGUAUUUCGGUAGUUUUCAGUAGUAUUCAGAGUAUUUCAGUAGAAAGAAGUUUAAAACUCUAUAGCCUCUUAUAUUACCUUUAUUAUACAGCAUGAAAAAAACAUGAGACAGGGUCUCACUCUGUCACCCAGGCUGGAGUGCAGUAGUGCCAUCUCAGCUCACUGCAGCCUCU